This is a long non-coding RNA of Sarcophilus harrisii (Tasmanian devil), 265 nucleotides long. RefSeq lists it as uncharacterized. NCBI's taxonomy places the organism in Eukaryota, Metazoa, Chordata, Mammalia, Dasyuromorphia, Dasyuridae. The record is from RefSeq and is a predicted model, not a curated record. The transcript has 2 exons.
CUCUGGGCAAAUGUGAUCUCCUCUCCAGGACACCAUUUUUUGCCUUCUAAAAUGAAGAAGUUCAUAGAAGCUCAAGGAAUCCUGAAAUUGAACUCUAACUACAGAAUCAUAAUGGACUACUCUUCAACUAACAACUGUGAAGAUUCUAACCCAAACAAAAAAGGAUAUGGACACCUACAGAAUGACAUUUUACUGCUAUUUAUUAACACUGAAAUGUCCUAGGAACAGAUUUAUCUAUAGUGAAGUAAACUAUUUUAUCUCUCUC